This 261-nucleotide ribosomal RNA is filed under the name uncultured prokaryote. Its description in RNAcentral is "partial 16S ribosomal RNA". It matches the Rfam family "Bacterial small subunit ribosomal RNA", at positions 524 to 784 of the family's 1533-position model. The record is from RNAcentral.
UACGGAGGAUCCGAGCGUUAUCCGGAAUCAUUGGGUUUAAAGGGUCCGUAGGCGGGCUUCUAAGUCAGUGGUGAAAGUCUGCAGCUUAACUGUAGAAUUGCCAUUGAUACUGGGAGUCUUGAAUUACUGUGAAGUGGUUAGAAUAUGUAGUGUAGCGGUGAAAUGCUUAGAUAUUACAUGGAAUACCAAUUGCGAAGGCAGAUCACUAACAGUAUAUUGACGCUGAGGGACGAAAGCGUGGGUAGCGAACAGGAUUAGAUA